This 434-nucleotide ribosomal RNA is filed under the name uncultured bacterium. RNAcentral's name for it is "bacterial SSU rRNA". It matches the Rfam family "Bacterial small subunit ribosomal RNA", at positions 355 to 796 of the family's 1533-position model. The record is from RNAcentral.
UCGAGGAUCUUCGGCAAUGAGCGCAAGCUUGACCGAGCGACGCCGCGUGUGCGACGAAGGCCUUCGGGUUGUAAAGCACUGUCGAGGGGGAGGAAAGCCGAAAGGUCUGACCUAUCCCUGGAGGAAGCACGGGCUAAGUUCGUGCCAGCAGCCGCGGUAAGACGAACCGUGCGAACGUUGUUCGGAAUCACUGGGCUUAAAGGGCGCGUAGGCGGGCCGCAAAGUCAGGGGUGAAAUCCUCCAGCUUAACUGGAGAACUGCCUUUGAUACUGGCGGUCUGGAGUAAGGUAGGGGCAUGCGGAACUGAUGGUGGAGCGGUGAAAUGUGUUGAUAUCAUCAGGAACUCCGGUGGCGAAAGCGGCAUGCUGGACCUUCACUGACGCUGAGUGCGCGAAAGCCAGGGGAGCAAACGGGAUUAGAUACCCCUGUAGUCC